RNAcentral lists this ribosomal RNA (403 nucleotides) under uncultured bacterium. Its description in RNAcentral is "partial 16S ribosomal RNA". It matches the Rfam family "Bacterial small subunit ribosomal RNA", at positions 30 to 526 of the family's 1533-position model. The record is from RNAcentral.
AUUGAACGCUGGCGGCAGGCCUAACAAAUGCAAGUCGAGCGAGCGGCGGACGGGUGAGUAAUGUAUGGGGUCUGCCCGAUAGAGGGGGAUAACUACUGGAAACGGUAGCUAAUACCGCAUACUAUCGGAUACCCCAUAUGGGAUUAUCUAGUAGGUGAGGUAAUGGCGCACCUAGGCGACGAUCCCUAGCGGGUCUGAGAGGAUGAUCAGCAAGACGUGGACUGAGAAACGGACCAGAGUACUACGGAGGCAGCAGUGGUGAUGAUUCAACAAUGGGAUAAAGGCUGAUGCAAGCAUGACGCGUGUAGGAAGAAGGGCAUAGGGUUGUAGAGUACUUUCAGUCGGAAGGCGGUACCGACAGAAGAAUCACCGUCUAACGCCGUGCCAGCAGCCGCGGUAAUAC